AUUGAACGCUGGCGGCAUGCCUUACACAUGCAAGUCGAACGGCAGCAUGAUCUAGCUUGCUAGAUUGAUGGCGAGUGGCGAACGGGUGAGUAAUACAUCGGAACGUGCCCUGUAGUGGGGGAUAACUAGUCGAAAGAUUAGCUAAUACCGCAUACGACCUGAGGGUGAAAGUGGGGGACCGCAAGGCCUCAUGCUAUAGGAGCGGCCGAUGUCUGAUUAGCUAGUUGGUGAGGUAAAGGCUCACCAAGGCGACGAUCAGUAGCUGGUCUGAGAGGACGAUCAGCCACACUGGGACUGAGACACGGCCCAGACUCCUACGGGAGGCAGCAGUGGGGAAUUUUGGACAAUGGGGGCAACCCUGAUCCAGCAAUGCCGCGUGUGUGAAGAAGGCCUUCGGGUUGUAAAGCACUUUUGUCCGGAAAGAAAUC
RNAcentral lists this ribosomal RNA (428 nucleotides) under Burkholderia sp. oral taxon 406. Its description in RNAcentral is "bacterial SSU rRNA". It matches the Rfam family "Bacterial small subunit ribosomal RNA", at positions 30 to 452 of the family's 1533-position model. The record is from RNAcentral. Lineage: Bacteria; Pseudomonadati; Pseudomonadota; Betaproteobacteria; Burkholderiales; Burkholderiaceae.